This 496-nucleotide ribosomal RNA is filed under the name uncultured bacterium. RNAcentral's name for it is "partial 16S ribosomal RNA". It matches the Rfam family "Bacterial small subunit ribosomal RNA", at positions 29 to 507 of the family's 1533-position model. The record is from RNAcentral.
AUGAACGCUGGCGGCGUGCCUAAUACAUGCAAGUCGAGCGCACGGACGAGAAGCUUGCUUCUCUGAUGUUAGCGGCGGACGGGUGAGUAACACGUGGAUAACCUACCUAUAAGACUGGGAUAACUUCGGGAAACCGUAGCUAAUACCGGAUAAUAUUUUGAACCGCAUGGUUCAAAAGUGAAAGACGGUCUUGCUGUCACUUAUAGAUGGAUCCGCGCUGCAUUAGCUAGUUGGUAAGGUAACGGCUUACCAAGGCAACGAUGCAUAGCCGACCUGAGAGGGUGAUCGGCCACACUAGAACUGAGACACGGUCCAGACUCCUACGGGAGGCAGCAGUAGGGAAUCUUCCGCAAUGGGCGAAAGCCUGACGGAGCAACGCCGCGUGAGUGAUGAAGGUCUUCGGAUCGUAAAACUCUGUUAUUAGGGAAGAACAUAUGUGUAAGUAACUGUGCACAUCUUGACGGUACCUAAUCAGAAAGCCACGGCUAACUACGUG